Molecule: long non-coding RNA, 4040 nt
Organism: Falco peregrinus (peregrine falcon)
Lineage: Eukaryota; Metazoa; Chordata; Aves; Falconiformes; Falconidae
Exons: 3
Source: RefSeq, a predicted model, not a curated record
GAAGUGUUAGAACCAGCAAGCAGGUGAUUGCAAGUACCUUUUGCACUCUGUGUCUGCCUCUAUAAGGAAAGAAAGAGGCUGCUUUCAUUCAGGUAGGACAGACCUACCAAAGUAACUGGGUCUGCAGUCAGGUUAAUAAAAAAUAUGCACUAUUCUGUCUCAGUUGGAAUGGGCUAAAGAGUGCUUGCACUUUUGUGUCUACCACAACAGAAAAUUCAGAGUGAGAGUACAAGCUGGUUCAGAGCCUCUCCCCAAGGCUGUUCCUCUAACCAGGACCUCAACAAGGCAUAAUUUUUGAACUGCACAUUAAUUAUCAGCUUGACAGUUCUCUUCCAUUUUUACUGUAUUUUCAAGUUGGCUUACCUGUGUUACUAGAGGCAGGCUCACAUGUCUGUUCACAGGAAUGUUGCUAAUGAAUGGUUGAAGGUUUUCAUUGCCUUUGUGAGCUGACACAGAGGCUCUCUCCUUCCUUUGCUGUUUGGCAGUCAAAGCAAAGGAGGCAGGCUGGGCAUGCCUGCAUCUGUAGCAUCCAGACUCUUUAGUAGUUAUGUUUAUUGCUCCACACUCAAGAGUAAAUCCAGUGAGUACUUGAGCAUCCAUAAGUGUCUCUGGCACUGGAGAGCAGUGAUAACUGAGACGGUUCCAGUUUCAGGCCUCACAUGCAGAUGGGACUGAUCAAAAAGUUCUAGGGCUGGUGUCCAGGAGCAGCCCAAUCACCAAAACAGACUCUAUGGGGCAUGACUGCCCUGCACCCUGUCCUGCUAGGGUAUGGGAUUGCUCCUUAUUCCAAUACUUCAUCCUCACCGUACCAGUGUCAUGGGACUGAUCUGCAGAGGUGCAGCUCAGCAGCACAAAGAGCAACACAGCAGAGCCUCAACCUCUUCUUAUGCUUCAGGAUGAAACCUGGUCAGGCAGAAGGCUGGGUUUGUCCCUUCAUGCGCAGAGGGAAAUUCAAUUUCCUACUUCUCUCCCCAAUUAAAUAUCCCCCCUUAAAAAAACACACUUGGUUGCACCAUCUAUAUCUGUUUCUCACACUAAUCUUUUAUUUCCUGAGUAGCUUCUCCUUCCUUCUCUCCCUCCCACUGUGAAAAUGUUUUAUUAAAGAUUUUUUCCCCAAGAGAAGAGGUGUGUGGCUAAGAGAUAAGCAUGUAUGCAUAGCUUUCCAGUAACAGGAUCGCUGCAGCCAGUCAGAGCUGAUCUGUUACAAGAGGACUCAGACUCCUGAUCUCAUCUUGGAAGAAGCACUUGUCCCAGAGUGAGUAUAGAGUUUUGUGACCUAGGGGUGAGGCUGCUCUUACUGUGGAAAAGGAGCAGAGUUCAGAAGAGAGCCACAGAUGAUCAGGCUUUUGCUUCUGCUGUUUCUGGGGCAAGGAGAAGGUAUGCUACUGAUGUGAGGGGUUGUCCCAUCAUGUUUUGCUGCCACCCUGGACACUAAUACCUUGUUUGGAAGUAGGCUGGCCACCAGUGGAGGAAGUUGAUGGUAGUCACUGAUGCCUUCAGGCAGCACCUGCUUUGCAGGUGCCUAGACAUCAGCACGUGUGGGCAAGCAAAACAGCUUCAGAAAGCGUGUCCCCAAAGCUUGCUCACUGCUUCCAUCAGAAUUGCUCUUGGCCAGUAUGGCACUACCAGUUUGUCAAAUGCCCACCUCUGGCUGCGUAUGCAGAGACACCAGCAAUUCAGCUUGUCACUGCCUCUCAUUCCUGACUAUCUGCUGCUUCAGCUUUGUGGCUCUGUCUGUACCACUUUCAGAGGGUUGCCUGUGGUAAUCACUCAGCCAAAAUUUCUGCUGACUUGUCCGAAUAAGUUUUCAUCCUGUCAAAAAAGUAUGGAUACUCUGUUCAUUUAAUAAUUCGCUCAGGCAGAAUCUUAUGUAAUAACAUUCAUAACACCCUUUUUCCUUAACUUCCUUUGCUGCAGUGAGACCUGGGAAUGACAGCUGUGGAUCUAAAUACUGUCUGUCUUAGAAAUGAAGGUGAAACUCAACUGACACGUGUUAGAUUCAGCAAUAGCAUUAGUGGCAAGAGCCAGAAGCUGUGGAAAAGGUUGUAAAACCAGCUCAAACUUUCAUUGAGGAAAAAACUGGAUUAUGGGUUGGAAGCAAAUACAAGUUUUGGAAAAGAAAGGAUCAUCUGAUCCAAACAUCACACCUAUGGAACUGUCCUCAACAUCUGAACUUCAUUUGGCACUGCUUAAAAUGAAAACUAAACCAGUGACAGGUCUGGAAACUCCUGAGCUAUGGAUCCGAGGAGGAAGGUUCACAUCUACAAUCCAGAACUGGAGCCAGAUGUAACUUGUGGAGCAGAGCCUUUUCCUGUACAGGUAAAAUAGUGGGAUCCGACAGAGCCGGCAACUCUGCAAUGGAUAAUCUGUCUUGUAAAUGCAUUGUCUUGGAUUACCAAGUGGCUCAAGGAGAAAAAAGUGUCUCAGUUUGGGAACUAAACCAAAAAUGCAUUAUUCAUCCAGCCCUUUUCAAAAUCCUGUCUAUGAUCAUCUAAGACUGGGGGUACACUGAGGACCUUCCUAAGUCAUUGGCUGCAGGGACAAUGAACGCCAGAAAGAGAAGAUGGCAACUUCCCUGAGGCUUCUCCAGAGUUGUUGAGAACCAACAACAAAAGAAAGUCUGCACUCAUCAUUUCUUAGCAGCAAAAGCAAUGGCCCAAGAGAAAUCAAGGCAGAAGAACCAAAAACUCAGCAGAAAAAGAAUGAGAAGAAACAGACAGAGCAAAACCCCCCAUCCUUCCACAGAAAGCAGGUGAGGAAGAGGCACACUAAAAGCAGGACAACAGCAAGUCUGGUGACACGGUGUGCCAGCGCAGAAAGCUUAAAACAUGAAUGGCAGGUAGUUUGGCAGUCGUAUCUGCAGCAUGAGAUGUCACGUGGGCAAAGCAGAACAGCCAUGAUGGAAAAUCUGCCUGCCUAAUAAAGAUCAGUUCCUUGAAAGAACAGGUUUUUGUGGGACAAAAGAUCUUUUAAGCUGCCUGGACAUCGUUGCAGUCUUACUCAGAGCCACAUUGCAGAAAAUGUUUUGGGACACAAUGAAGAUGGAAUACAACAUACAUACAAGAACAUUGUAGUUGUAUAUGCGCUCUUGUUUCUUUACACUACUAUGUUAAUGGGCUGUUUGCUGAUAAAAAAACCACGCUUACUGUGCACUGAAUCCAUUUCUAGUUAUAAGUUAAAAAUUCUUCUCUUAGGAAGAUCCCUCUGUAUUGUGCAGGUGUGUGUGGAAUCCUGAGCAUUUUAGUGACUCUACAUCUUCUUAUUUUAGUUGGAGAUGUCUGAAGUAAAAUUUCUAAAUCAAAAUGAAUAACUUUAAAAAUGUCAUGAUUUUCAAGAGCUCUGAAUUUUAGAGGUAUGCAAAUAACGUUCUUCAAUUCCUUGGCAAAUGUAAAACAUACCAUCUCCAGCUGAUGAUAUUUUUAGCAAUUAGUUUUUUUCUAGGCUGAAAAUGAAACCAGCAAUUUCUACCAGAAAGUUAAAACCAUUUAAAAAACUCCAAUAAAAAUGGGUCUUUCUUUCCAAAUGAGAAGCUGUUUAUAACAUGAAAAUUAAAACAUUUUGUUUCAAAAUAUGAAAAUGGAAUAUUUGGACCUUCUUAUGGAGUGAGAUAUUUUAUUGAAACUGAGAUGAAUGGGUAAAUAUUUCAGUGUCACAGAAUCUGAAUUUCUUCACUGAAAUAAAAUUUUAUUAAGAAAUAUUAGCUUUGCCAAGCUCCUUUUAGCUUUCAGUGGACACGACUGAUAUAUGUUUAUUAAAGCGAAAUAAUUGUUUGUGUACAUAAAUCUGGAAUUUGCAAUAUAAUAUCAGUUUAUGGUGUUGUAGUGAUUUUUUUUUUAAUGAAAGAUAAAAGGUCAGUGGUGUACUGUAGUUUCUUACAUAAGCAGCAAGAGUGAAGUCAAUAGGUACACCAGAUAAGGGAAUAGAGCAGAGCGAAGACACUGUGAGGUAUUAGUUGCUGUAAGUUUGCUUACUGUCAGCAUCACAAUUACAACAGUAACUUACUGAACUAGUUCAGCUUACAUGGCUCAGUUUUCCUCAAA